RNAcentral lists this ribosomal RNA (571 nucleotides) under uncultured bacterium. RNAcentral describes it as "bacterial SSU rRNA". It matches the Rfam family "Bacterial small subunit ribosomal RNA", at positions 52 to 612 of the family's 1533-position model. The record is from RNAcentral.
CACAUGCAAGUCGAGGGGCAGCAUGGUCUUAGCUUGCUAAGGCCGAUGGCGACCGGCGCACGGGUGAGUAACACGUAUCCAACCUGCCGUCUACUCUUGGACAGCCUUCUGAAAGGAAGAUUAAUACAAGAUGGCAUCAUGAGUCCGCAUGUUCACAUGAUUAAAGGUAUUCCGGUAGACGAUGGGGAUGCGUUCCAUUAGAUAGUAGGCGGGGUAACGGCCCACCUAGUCUUCGAUGGAUAGGGGUUCUGAGAGGAAGGUCCCCCACAUUGGAACUGAGACACGGUCCAAACUCCUACGGGAGGCAGCAGUGAGGAAUAUUGGUCAAUGGGCGAGAGCCUGAACCAGCCAAGUAGCGUGAAGGAUGACUGCCCUAUGGGUUGUAAACUUCUUUUAUAAAGGAAUAAAGUCGGGUAUGGAUACCCGUUUGCAUGUACUUUAUGAAUAAGGAUCGGCUAACUCCGUGCCAGCAGCCGCGGUAAUACGGAGGAUCCGAGCGUUAUCCGGAUUUAUUGGGUUUAAAGGGAGCGUAGAUGGAUGUUUAAGUCAGUUGUGAAAGUUUGCGGCUCAA